Molecule: long non-coding RNA, 389 nt
Filed under: Nicotiana benthamiana
Lineage: Eukaryota; Viridiplantae; Streptophyta; Magnoliopsida; Solanales; Solanaceae
Description: long non-coding RNA (NBEN_LNC030133)
Source: RNAcentral
UGAAUGCGUUGUCGGAAGGAUGGAUGGGAGGAAAUUUUCUUAUUCGCUAACCUUUGCGAAAGCUCUCUCUUUGCGCUCUUUAUAAUCUCUGCUCUCUUCGUCCUCGGCCGUUAACUGCGGCGACAAUACGUUCUUGUACCCGAUUCUCAGAGGAAUCUCGUCGUCGUCUUACCUUUGGAAUGCCGUCGAUCUCUGUCCUCGGCCGGUAACUGCGGCGACAAUACGUUCUUGUACCCGAUUCUCAGAGGAAUCUCGUCGUCGUCUUACCUUUGGAAUGCCGUCGAUCUCCGCCUCAUUCCUGAUCUCCUCGCUAAGCUUUUCUUCUCUCUCUAGGUUCCAUUUCUUUGAUCUUCUCUGCUUUUUUUUGAAAUGUAUGGGUUCUUUGAUCG